Molecule: ribosomal RNA, 546 nt
Filed under: bacterium kasolVP
Lineage: Bacteria
Description: bacterial SSU rRNA
Rfam family: Bacterial small subunit ribosomal RNA
Source: RNAcentral
UGGAGAGUUUGAUCCUGGCUCAGGACGAACGCUGGCGGCGUGCCUAAUACAUGCAAGUCGAGCGCAGGAAGUCAUCCGAACCCUUCGGGGGGACGUUGACGGAAUGAGCGGCGGACGGGUGAGUAACACGUAAAGAACCUGCCCUCAGGUCUGGGAUAACCACGAGAAAUCGGGGCUAAUACCGGAUGGGUCAUCGGACCGCAUGGUCCGAGGAUGAAAGGCGCUYCGGCGUCGCCUGGGGAUGGCUUUGCGGUGCAUUAGCUAGUUGGUGGGGUAACGGCCCACCAAGGCGACGAUGCAUAGCCGACCUGAGAGGGUGAUCGGCCACACUGGGACUGAGACACGGCCCAGACUCCUACGGGAGGCAGCAGUAGGGAAUCUUCCACAAUGGACGAAAGUCUGAUGGAGCAACGCCGCGUGAACGAUGAAGGCCCUCGGGUCGUAAAGUUCUGUUGUAAGGGAAGAACAAGUGCCGCAGGCAAUGGCGGCACCUUGACGGUACCUUACGAGAAAGCCACGGCUAACUACGUGCCAGCAGCCGCGGUA